UGGGGAAUUUUCCGCAAUGGGCGAAAGCCUGACGGAGCAACGCCGCGUGGGGGAGGAAGGCUUUUGGGUUGUAAACCCCUUUUCUCAGGGAAGAAGCCCUGACGGUACCUGAGGAAUCAGCAUCGGCUAACUCCGUGCCAGCAGCCGCGGUAAUACGGAGGGGGCAAGCGUUGUUCGGAAUUACUGGGCGUAAAGGGCGCGUAGGCGGCACAUCAAGUCAGAGGUGAAAGCCCCGGGCUCAACCUGGGAACUGCCUUUGAAACUGAUGAGCUAGAGUCCGGAAGAGGAUAGCGGAAUUCCCAGUGUAGAGGUGAAAUUCGUAGAUAUUGGGAAGAACACCAGUGGCGAAGGCGGCUAUCUGGUCCGGUACUGACGCUGAGGCGCGAAAGCGUGGGGAGCAAACAGGAUUAGAUACCCCUGUAGUCC
This 426-nucleotide ribosomal RNA is filed under the name uncultured prokaryote. RNAcentral's name for it is "bacterial SSU rRNA". It matches the Rfam family "Bacterial small subunit ribosomal RNA", at positions 355 to 796 of the family's 1533-position model. The record is from RNAcentral.